GAGACGAUGAAUCGCUCUCCAUUAUUAUUUGUGGGCUCCACGUUAUGUCCAGUUUAUUUUGGUCGUAAAGGUUUUGUGUUUGGUCUGAUUUGGGUUUUCCACAUUUGGUUCCAUAAUUAAGUCAAAAUCUGCGUUUUAUGCUUGAGUCAAUUAGGGCUUCAUUAUUAUCUUUCUUCCCCAUUCAACCUCGCCGUCUACACUUAUCUUAAUCUGCAGACCUAAUGAUUGCAAACGUAAAGGUUGACAUCGCUGUCUCCGUACCCAACAUCUAACCCUCUCUUUACCACCUCUUCUGGUUCCCGAUGUCGUCCCGGAAUCCACUGCUCUGUUUCGGCCGGUGAGACAAACAAAACGAUCCAUGGAGGAUGUCCCUGACAUAUCAUGGGGCUGCGAUAUAUAUUCAGUCGAGAAUGCCACUUCUCUUCAGAGAUGGCUAACCAAUUCAGGCCUCCCGCCGCAGAAAAUGGCUAUCGACAGAGUCGACAUCAGAGAGAGAGAGGUGGGAGUCUCGGAAUGAAAUAUCAACGAACAAACACUUGCUUAAGUUAAAUUUAGAGGAAUGUGCUCAGCUACAAGACCGAAUGAUGGCUCUUGCCAAGGAGCUGGCAUCGCUUAAAUUGGUUUCCGACAUAAGAUUGGAGGAAGAUGAUGUGCUGAAGCUUGCCUUUUUUGAGAAUAACGCAAAAGACAAAAGAUACAAUAGACACACUUGUCAAGUCCUUGGUUAUCCGAAACAGGUACUAUUGAUGAAGUCCCCACGACUACUAUUGUGACCAACCUCCAGAAAUUCAUGCUUCUGAAGUUCGACCAUCUUCAAGCUCUUGCAAACACUUUCUUUGAACUCCCCGGUAUUUUUUUAAAUUUCCUUUUGCAUAUUAGAAUUCAACCACCAUCUACUUAUAUUACCUAUGCCAAAUCCGUUCUGUUCAAGGCUCCGACAUAAACAACUAUGCUGCAACAACUCGAUUAUGCAUGAAAGUUGGUGUCCCAAUCAUGCUGCCGCGCAACCUAAACCAAGAAGAAGGCUUGAGAAAGAGUUAUCGAAGCAGAAGUGUGUGUGUGUUGAUACCAAGAAUCAUACUAUCACCGACAUAAACCAAACAUUUUUUCACUCUAAGAAGCCGCCAGUUUCCAGUACAUAUAUCCUGGGGAUUUUAACAUUACCAGGGUCGCGUGAAUUGGUUACAUUGCCAACAUUGUUUACAGAAAGGCCUUCAAUUGCCUCCCACAAUCACCGGUUUAGAAGAAGACUGAGAGUUUCGCCAACAUGCUUUCCUCUGUUUCUUUCUCUGUUCUGUCUGUAUCUGUCCAAAGAAUCAUCAAAUGGGAUCCACUGAACUGCAAGACACAGAUUUCUUUAGCUCUUUUUCUGAGCACUUACACUCAACGUUCUUCACUCCAAUCACAAGCUCGCUCCGAUCUGACUCGGACCCGGAUUCACCAAAGCCAUAAAACGAGGAUGAAGACGAGUACGUCGUAGAGUUGACUCGGCAGAUGACUAACUAUAUGAGCAUCAGAAGUCUUAUGGUGGAGACAACAUAUUAUGGUUCCUUUUCAAUCAAAAGAAGCUUUAAUCGAUGAGCAGAUCCGAUCUGUUCAGGCAAACAUGAGUUCAUGUUUUUUCAGUUGAUAAUUAUUUAGAAUCUUUUUUUUUAUUUGUCGGUUAUAAUACGAUGGUUUAUAAAAUAAAAAGUUUGAUGUUCAUUUUGUGUCUAUAGUUCCAAAACUAGAAGGAGAAAGACAAGCAGCGAAAUGAUGAUGCAUUAAAACAUAAAGCAAGGAGCUACCACAACCAACAGAGAGACCAAAGUCCACUGGGAAGGCGGUGUUCGUUGACGGGUCAUUCGAGAACCAGGUCAGGUGGAACUGAGUGUUCUUGCCAGGCAGGCAUGGUACUGCUGUGGAGUCACGCAAGAAAGUAGUUUCAUAUUAAUUUAGCACUGUUACUUCUUGUUUUUUACGUUACGCAAGAACUCCAUUAUAAGUUUUUGUUUUGUUUUCUAUUAGCGAGAUGUGGUUUUAAAGAAGGUUACCUAUUAUAUAUAAUGGACAACAGAUAAAAGAAAGAGAUGAAAUGACGUCGUCUAUAUACUUUGAGAUUCGUACUU
Long non-coding RNA from Brassica napus (rape), 2108 nucleotides. RefSeq lists it as uncharacterized. NCBI's taxonomy places the organism in Eukaryota, Viridiplantae, Streptophyta, Magnoliopsida, Brassicales, Brassicaceae. The record is from RefSeq and is a predicted model, not a curated record. The transcript is spliced from 6 exons.